Molecule: ribosomal RNA, 1060 nt
Filed under: uncultured Arthrobacter sp.
Lineage: Bacteria; Bacillati; Actinomycetota; Actinomycetes; Micrococcales; Micrococcaceae
Description: bacterial SSU rRNA
Rfam family: Bacterial small subunit ribosomal RNA
Source: RNAcentral
CUCCUACGGGAGGCAGCAGUGGGGAAUAUUGCACAAUGGGCGCAAGCCUGAUGCAGCGACGCCGCGUGAGGGAUGAAGGCCUUCGGGUUGUAAACCUCUUUCAGUAGGGAAGAAGCUGGUCCUUUGGGGUUGGUGACGGUUCCUGCAGAAGAAGCGCCGGCUAACUACGUGCCAGCAGCCGCGGUAAUACGUAGGGCGCAAGCGUUACCCGGAAUUAUUGGGCGUAAAGAGCUCGUAGGCGGUUUGUCGCGUCUGCCGUGAAAGUCCGGGGCUUAACUCCGGAUCUGCGGUGGGUACGGGCAGACUAGAGUGCAGUAGGGGAGACUGGAAUUCCUGGUGUAGCGGUGAAAUGCGCAGAUAUCAGGAGGAACACCGAUGGCGAAGGCAGGUCUCUGGGCUGUAACUGACGCUGAGGAGCGAAAGCAUGGGGAGCGAACAGGAUUAGAUACCCUGGGAGUCCAUGCCGUAAACGUUGGGCACUAGGUGUGGGGGACAUUCCACGGUUUUCCGCGCCGGAGCUAACGCAUUAAGGGCCCGCCUGGGGAGUACGGGCCGCAAGGCUAAAACUCAAAGGAAUUGACGGGGGCUCGCACAAGCGGCGGACAUGCGGAUUAAUUCGAUGCACGCGAAGAAACUUAACAAGGGUUGACAUGAACCGGAAUGAUCCAGAGAUGUGUCAGCCACUUGUGGCCGGUUUACAGGUGGUGCAUGGUUGUCGUCAGCUCGUGUCGUGAGAUGUUGGGUUAAGUCCCGCAACGAGCGCAACCCUUUUCCUUAUUUGCCAGCGGGUUAAGCCGGGAACUUUAAGGAUACUGCCAGUGAGAAACUGGAGGAAGGCGGGGACGACGUCAAGUCAUCAUGGCCCUUACGACCAGGGCUACACACGUGCUACAAUGGUCGGUACAAAGGGUUGCUACCUCGCGAGAGGAUGCUAAUCCCAAAAAGCCGGUCUCAGUUCGGAUUGAGGUCUGCAACUCGACCUCAUGAAGUUGGAGUCGCUAGUAAUCGCAGAUCAGCAACGCUGCGGUGAAUACGUUCCCGGGCCUUGUACACACCGCCG